Non-coding RNA from Parasteatoda tepidariorum (common house spider), 944 nucleotides. Lineage: Eukaryota; Metazoa; Arthropoda; Arachnida; Araneae; Theridiidae. The record is from RefSeq and is a predicted model, not a curated record.
UGUAAACCCUGAUUGAUGCUGCAAUAGAAAUAUUAAAUAAUAUUAAUCAGAUCUUCCCCUCUCUUUCAGAUGUAAGUAACCUGACUAAAUUGGGGAUCUGCAAAAAGAAUUUAAAAGAAAAAAUCCAGCAACAAACCUAACGUUGCAAUAAUUUACACUCCUUUUUUACGUCUUGAUUUUAAAGUGACAGAUGUGUCGAAUCCCCAAGUAUGAGUUUGAGUGAUGCUUCCACCCAAAAGAGUUGUGAGACCACUCUGAAAGUGUUGCAAGUAUGCCAUAUGCGUGGAAAAAGAUGGAUAUGCCAGCUUUUGCCUGGAUUCUACUGAUGAUUCAUGUUUGUCCCGGGGAAUAGUCUCACAGCAUUGUCUGCUUAAAGUUUUUCUGUGAGAUAUGUUUACCAGGACUUGAUUUUCUACAAUGGUUUAUGCAGAAUCUCAUUUAGUUUGAAGAAUAUCUCUGUACCGUAAAAAGAUAACAUUUCAGUCAUUGAUUUUGCUAUAUGUAUUAAAUAUAAUUGUAUAUUUUUUAAAUUCAUAAAAAUAAUUAAGCUCUUUAUUUUCCGGCACGGUUGUCAGUUAUUAAUAUAACUGAAGUCUUUGAUUGGAUUCUGAUCCACUGUAGAAUUUUAAAGUAACAUGAUUUAUAUUUUUUUAUCUAGAAAAAUGCUUUUAUUUUACAGCUGACUAAGCAGACAAUAGCAUAGCUGCCAACUGUUCAGAAUUUUUCGGAUUUGUUCCUAAUUUUUAAAUCCAAUCUGAUAUUUUUAUAAAAAUUCUGAAUUUUCAUAAAAUUUUUGAUUUUAAACCAAUCCUUUUUUCUGAUCGCCACAAGCAUGCAUCCUGUGAUUAUUGUGCUAAAGUAAUUUUUAGUAGCUUUUUAUUGGAAAAUAUUAUUCCAAUAGCUGUCUGUUGCUGAUUAUUUCACUAAAUUAUUAUUUUUGGAAA